RNAcentral lists this long non-coding RNA (1099 nucleotides) under Ananas comosus (pineapple). RNAcentral describes it as "long non-coding RNA (ACOM_LNC029809)". The record is from RNAcentral. Lineage: Eukaryota; Viridiplantae; Streptophyta; Magnoliopsida; Poales; Bromeliaceae.
CCAACCUUUAUCCAAUUUUUAUUCUCGUCCCUUUUUUUUUUUUUUUAAUCUUCCAUUUAAUUUUUUUAAAAAUAAUAUACUACUCAUUUUGAUUAUUUUUUUAAAAUAUAAAUUAGAAGCUAUCAAGUAUUUUGCCACUUAUGUUCGUAAUGGUCGAUAAUUAUUUUUGAAUAAGAUUCUUAAUCUUCGUAGGAUUGGUUACUCUAUCAAUUUUUUAGCUUCUCUUCUAUGACUUAAAUAGAGCUUUAUUAGAAUUAAUGUGGUUUAUUUUAUUGAAGUUAACAGAAAUUGAGACGAUUGAGACUUGAUUACGAAAAUAAAAGAAAAAAAAGAAAAGAAAUAUCAAAAAAUAUAUAUAAUAUGCCAAAUUAAAAAUAAUAAUAAUAAGAAAAAAUUUUAAAUACCUCCCUUAUGGUUUCAUUUUUUCUCACUUUAGUAUCUUGUGGUUUAAAGCGUAUCAAGUUAGUACCCUGAGGUUUCGCACUUUCUCACUUUAAUACCUUGUGGUUUAAGGUAUAUCAAGCUAGUACCAUGUGGUUUCACACUUUCUCACUUUAGUACCCUGUGGUUUAAUAUUUUAUUAAGAAAAAAAUAAAACCACAGGGUACUAACUUGAUACAAAAAUAAAACAACAGAGUACUAAUUUAAUACAAAAAUAAAACUAUAGAGUACUAACUUGAUACACUUUAAACCAUAGGGUACUAAAGUGAGAAAGUGCGAAACCACAGGGUACUAACUUGAUACAGUUUAAACCACAUGGUACUAAAAUGAAAAAGUACGAACCACAUGAAAAUUUUUUAAAGUUUUCUCUAAUAAUAAUAACAAAGGAUAAAAGAUAAAUGUUGGGAUACUGAUACAGCGAAUUAAGCUAGAAUACUUUUAGAAGCACCAACUCUUUGGUGCUUUUAGGUUUUAGCCCUUGGAUCUACUCCUUUAUUAUUAGUAGCAUUUGGAUCAAACACUAUUUUACCUACCAUUACUUAUCAUCAUCAUCUUAACUCUACAUCUUUCUAUCUAAUGGCUAAAAAUUCAAAAACACUAUUUUUUUGAUGCUUCUGAGAGUAUUCUAGCUCAACUCCUGAUACGGCAACCUUUUUUC